This is a long non-coding RNA of Neogobius melanostomus (round goby), 2329 nucleotides long. The record is from Ensembl. Lineage: Eukaryota; Metazoa; Chordata; Actinopteri; Gobiiformes; Gobiidae.
ACACGUCAUACAUUUUAACUGGGAGAUUAAUGAACACAUUGUAAAACUGUAUCUUUUCAGUGGACGCGUGUAAAAACAAAUGGAAGAGCUUGAGGGACACGUACGCCAAGAAGAAGAAGGACGAGGAGAAGAGGAAAAAGGAGAGCGCGGAAAACCCCGACCACAGGCCACAGUGGAGGUUCUUCGCUGUGCUGUCGUUCCUCGACCGGUUUGUAAUAACGCGCUCCAACACCUCGGGACAGGAGAGCGACGAGGAGCAAGAGAUGGAAGACGGCCAGGAGCCCGGGAGGAAGCUGGAAACAUCCCACACUUCACCGACUGAAGAUGAACCGAGCGUCCAACAGGAGGAGGAGCCGCCACAGACCGAGGCGGCGUUCUUCCUGCCAGGGAUUUACCUGGAGGAUAAGUUAAUCAUCGCGGUUUGCAAUCGGCCCGAGUUAUACGACUCCAGGUCGAGCCACUAUCGGGACAGGAAACGAGUGAGACUCGCCUGGAGAGAGAUCAGCAAAGAGCUGGGAGUGCCAGUGGAGUUGUGCAAAACCAAGUGGAAGGGUUUGAGGGACACCUACGCCAAGAAGAAGCGAGAGGAGGAGAAGAGGAAGAAGGACAGCGGCUCAAAAGCAGAGCAAAGGCCACAGUGGAGGUUCUUCGCUGUUCUGUCGUUCCUCGACCGGUUCCUGAUGCCGCGCAGCAGCAGGACGCGGCACGGGGACACGGCUGAGGACCUGCACUCCAACACCUCGGGCCUGGAGAGCGACGAGGAGCCCGAGAUGGAAGAGUCCGCUUUACCUCCGGAGCCGAGGGCCCCUCCGUCACCUGCGGUUUCCUCUGGCUCCCAGUCUCCUUUCCCUGGGCCGUCUCCGUCUGCUGCUGCCCCGUCCGCCUCUACUCCUGCUCCCUCAGCUCAAAGGAGAAGAGCGGUGCGUCGUCCCCGGGACCAGUCCUCGUCGGUGGAGGAGGCGCUCCUGGAGUACCUGAGGCAGCCUCCGCCCCCACCGCCUCGGGACUACACGGCUGUGGAGCACUACCUCCUCAGCCUCGCGCCGUCCCUGGAGAGGCUGCCCUUUUUGGACCAAGAGUUGGUUAAAACCAAAAUGAAUCAGAUCAUUUUAAACCAUUUACAAAAUCUGAGCCCGGAUUAAAAGUGAACGGUCCCGUUGUCUCCAGGGAAGGACUUACGGGCGUCGUCUCCUCCUCCUAGGGCUGGGCACCGUUACACCACAGCAGUCUGGUAUCGAAAAAGAAGGUUUAGGUUCUAAUGGUAACGAAAUAAUAAAAGCAGCACCGAAAAGAAAUGUGAAAUCUUUAUAUUCAAGUUUUGAUCAAAAUUUAAAAGAAAUAAAAACGUGGGGGAAAAAAUAACAUUUGGGGCAAAAUUGAGAAGAAAUGUGGACUAAUAAGUGGAAAAUUGGGGUAUAUUUGGGGGGGAAAAAAAUAAAAAUUGGGGGAAAUUUAGGGGAAAAUAUGGAAAGUUUAGGGGGGAAACUUGAGAAUGUUUUAAAAAUGGGGGAAAAAAAUAAACUUUUUUUAUUUUCUGCCCUUUUGUUGUUAAAGGAAGUUUCUUGGUUGUUUCGCCUCAAACAAAUGAUAGAAAUGCAAAAGAAAUUAAAUGGAAGGAAAAGGGAUUAAUUAACAUUAUUAAUCUGUUUUAUAUGAACAUUUCAGUAUCGGUAUCGUUAAAGUACUGGUAUCGGUACCCAGCCCUAUUAUUCAAUGGCCUUCACUCUUUCCACCAAGCAAGUUUCUUAUUUUCUUUUAUUUAAAUUUAUACAUGAGUUGUAUUUAUUUGUGUUAUGUUCAGUGUUUUUGUUAUAAAAUAAAAAAAAACAUAAUUUUGAUGCAUCACAGUUACUUUGUCAUGGCGUUUCCGGUGGAGCGCAAAGUCAUAAACGAGGGCUAAUGUUAAAAUCUAAAGCUCAGUAGAUUUAUUUGUGUAAAAUGUUCAUUAAAGUUUCUGGAGGGAGGGGGAAAGGAAGGAAGGGAGGGAAAGAAAGAAAGAAGGAAAUAAAGCAGGAAAGGAAAGCGAUGCCUUUUUGUAUAUUUUUCAUCAGUAGGUCCCAGUAGUGAACCCUGGUCUGCUCCACCACCACCCCUCCCCUCACCUGGCUCUCCCCCGUCACUCCCUCACUCCCCUCCACCACAGACCACACCUGCUCUGACUGCAUUCAAUGACAUACGGAACUCUACCUAAUCUUGUGUGAAACUCACAUUAGCAUAAAUAAGACGUGUAGCAAAGUAAACAUUUUGAGACAUUUAUUUGCUAAACUUCAACUUUCAUGAAAGUCUUUUUUUUUUUUUUAGCAUUUGGAACAUAAUACUUCCAUUUAGA